This 1551-nucleotide ribosomal RNA is filed under the name Staphylococcus haemolyticus. RNAcentral describes it as "bacterial SSU rRNA". It matches the Rfam family "Bacterial small subunit ribosomal RNA". Lineage: Bacteria; Bacillati; Bacillota; Bacilli; Caryophanales; Staphylococcaceae. The record is from RNAcentral.
UUUAUGGAGAGUUUGAUCCUGGCUCAGGAUGAACGCUGGCGGCGUGCCUAAUACAUGCAAGUCGAGCGAACAGACAAGGAGCUUGCUCCUUUGACGUUAGCGGCGGACGGGUGAGUAACACGUGGGUAACCUACCUAUAAGACUGGGAUAACUUCGGGAAACCGGAGCUAAUACCGGAUAAUAUUUCGAACCGCAUGGUUCGAUAGUGAAAGAUGGUUUUGCUAUCACUUAUAGAUGGACCCGCGCCGUAUUAGCUAGUUGGUAAGGUAACGGCUUACCAAGGCGACGAUACGUAGCCGACCUGAGAGGGUGAUCGGCCACACUGGAACUGAGACACGGUCCAGACUCCUACGGGAGGCAGCAGUAGGGAAUCUUCCGCAAUGGGCGAAAGCCUGACGGAGCAACGCCGCGUGAGUGAUGAAGGUCUUCGGAUCGUAAAACUCUGUUAUUAGGGAAGAACAUACAUGUAAGUAACUAUGCACGUCUUGACGGUACCUAAUCAGAAAGCCACGGCUAACUACGUGCCAGCAGCCGCGGUAAUACGUAGGUGGCAAGCGUUAUCCGGAAUUAUUGGGCGUAAAGCGCGCGUAGGCGGUUUUUUAAGUCUGAUGUGAAAGCCCACGGCUCAACCGUGGAGGGUCAUUGGAAACUGGAAAACUUGAGUGCAGAAGAGGAAAGUGGAAUUCCAUGUGUAGCGGUGAAAUGCGCAGAGAUAUGGAGGAACACCAGUGGCGAAGGCGACUUUCUGGUCUGUAACUGACGCUGAUGUGCGAAAGCGUGGGGAUCAAACAGGAUUAGAUACCCUGGUAGUCCACGCCGUAAACGAUGAGUGCUAAGUGUUAGGGGGUUUCCGCCCCUUAGUGCUGCAGCUAACGCAUUAAGCACUCCGCCUGGGGAGUACGACCGCAAGGUUGAAACUCAAAGGAAUUGACGGGGACCCGCACAAGCGGUGGAGCAUGUGGUUUAAUUCGAAGCAACGCGAAGAACCUUACCAAAUCUUGACAUCCUUUGACAACUCUAGAGAUAGAGCCUUCCCCUUCGGGGGACAAAGUGACAGGUGGUGCAUGGUUGUCGUCAGCUCGUGUCGUGAGAUGUUGGGUUAAGUCCCGCAACGAGCGCAACCCUUAAGCUUAGUUGCCAUCAUUAAGUUGGGCACUCUAAGUUGACUGCCGGUGACAAACCGGAGGAAGGUGGGGAUGACGUCAAAUCAUCAUGCCCCUUAUGAUUUGGGCUACACGUGCUACAAUGGACAAUACAAAGGGCAGCGAAACCGCGAGGUCAAGCAAAUCCCAUAAAGUUGUUCUCAGUUCGGAUUGUAGUCUGCAACUCGACUACAUGAAGCUGGAAUCGCUAGUAAUCGUAGAUCAGCAUGCUACGGUGAAUACGUUCCCGGGUCUUGUACACACCGCCCGUCACACCACGAGAGUUUGUAACACCCGAAGCCGGUGGAGUAACCAUUUGGAGCUAGCCGUCGAAGGUGGGACAAAUGAUUGGGGUGAAGUCGUAACAAGGUAGCCGUAUCGGAAGGUGCGGCUGGAUCACCUCCUUUCU